This 28539-nucleotide long non-coding RNA is filed under the name Lynx pardinus (Iberian lynx). Lineage: Eukaryota; Metazoa; Chordata; Mammalia; Carnivora; Felidae. The record is from RNAcentral.
GGGGGAGGAGCCAAGACAGCAGAACAGCAUGGAAGUUUUUUCUGUGUCUGGUGUCCAUGAGAUACCACCAGACCAACAAUAAACCAUCUUGCACACCUAGAAAACUGAUCUGAGGAAUAACACAACAAUCUGCACAACCUGAACCACGGAAUCAGCAGGUACGUGGCGCAGAGAGGUGAACUGGGGGAGAGAGAAGCUGUGGAGGGCAGGGAGCCACUUUUGCGGUGGAGAGAGGAUGGAGACUGGGGCGGAGAGGGGGGGUGGGGUGGGGACAGAAUAUGGGAAAACAUCCCCCCCAACCCACAAGCAGCUGGAGAGAAAGUGGAAAAGUGGAAACAGCCACAGGGACUGAACUAAAAAGGGAGAAAGGAGAAAGGAGAGGGUUUAAAUUCCAUUAAGACUAUAAACAGGGUGGGGCACAGAGUCUGAAACUCUGCAGCUCGAUACCUGGUGGUGCUCUGAUGGGAAGGGCAGAUCCUCAGGAGCAGAGUGGGGCCCGGGGUUCUUCAGGCCACAUGGGGAGAGGCGGUUCCCCUGCUGGGAGGACACCUGGUAGAGGCUGUGUGGGUCCCCAAAGGCAAGGCCCCAGUGGACCCGGGAGAACAGCCACAUUCACUGGUGCUGGAACAAGGUCGUUAAGGGUGAAGCCUGGUGCCAGGUGUGUGUUGUGAGUUUCCAUAGUCCCUGAAAUGCUGCUGCUGCACUAUCUCGCAAACCUUUUUUUGCACCCGGCCGCAGUCUCUUGGCUUCGGCAGCAGCAGGGUUCCGCGAAUGUUCCUGGGUGUGGCCGGCACAGGCCAGUGCUCGGUGAGAACGUCCGGCAGAGGAGCCGAGCGGGUCAGAGCUGUGGUCCCUCAGAAGUAAGGGAUCAGUAAACAUAGCCGCAUCUGAGAUAAAACUCAGGAGGGAAGGACUGCCUGGGGCUUAGUCAUCGUCAGUGUAAAAGCGGGGAGUGGUCAGAGGCCGAAGACAAAGGAUGGGUGCACAAUUGCCCAUCGGGGAGAACAGAGUUCGAUACUAGCGACUGAGUUGCUGGGUGUCAGGGCCACUGUUCCUGCGCAUGCGCAUAGGUACCUACGAGCACCAAAGCAAUCCUCCCCAGUAAGCUAAGCAGCGCCAUCUAGUGGAGAACGGAGCCGUUACACUAAGCCCUGCCCAACUGGGCCAACCUCACUCUUCAGGAACACAAGUCUCUCCCCCUGCUUAGUUUAUGGACUAUAACGUGCUUCAUAGUUUGACUUAUAGGGGAAAACAAAGUAAUUUCAGUAGUAUUUCAGUCUAUUUGCCGGUCCAUCUAUUCAAUUUUCUUUCUUUUUCUUCCCUUUUUUCUUUUUUCUCUUUUUCGUUUCUUUUCUUUUUCUUGAAUACAGAAAAAUCAUUUUUAUUUUCAAUUUUUAUUAAAAAUAGUUUUCUUUCAUUUUUUUACUAUAUUUUUACUUUUGUGUAAAUUUUUUCAAAUUCUAUUUUACUUCCAUCAUUUCAUUUUAGUCUAUUCAGUGUAUUCAUUUUUUCACAUUUUCAAACUAUUUCCUUUUUUUUCCUAUUUUUCUUUCCCCCUUUUUUUGUAAUCUAUCAAGCCCUUUUCAACACCCAGACAAAAACACACCUAGGAUCUAGCAUCAUUUAUUUGAUUUGUGUGUGUGUGUGUUUUUAAUUUUUUAAUUUUAAUAUUUUUUAAUUUUAUUUUUUUUAUUUAAUUAUUUUACCUAAUUAAUUCUUUUUCUCCCUUCAAAAUGACAAAGCAAAGGAAUUCACCCCAAAAGAAAGAGCAGGAAGAAACGACAGCCAGGGACUUAACCAACACAGAUACAAGCAAAAUGUCUAAACCAAAAUUUAGAAUCACAAUAAUAAGAAUACUAGCUGGGAUUGAAAACAGAUUAUAAUCCCUUUCUCUGGAGAUAAAAGAAGUAAAAGCUAGUCAGGAUGAAAUAAAAAAUGCUAUAACUGAGCUGCAAACUUGAAUGGAGGCCACAGCAGCAAAGAUGGAUGAGGCAGAACAGAGAAUCAGCAAUAUAGAGGUCAAACUUAAAGAGAAUAAUGAAGCAGGUUUGCUCCCUCCCUCUCUAACUUUUUUCCCCCCUUCCCCUACCCCAUGGUCUUCUGCUAAGUUUUCCAGGAUCCACAUAAGAGAAAAAACAUGGUGCCUGUCUUUCUCUGUAUGACUUAUUUCACUUAGCAUAACACUUUCCAGUUCCAUCCACGUUGCUACAAAAGGCCAUAUUUCACUCUUUCUCAUUGCCACAUAGUAUUCCAUUGUGUAUAUAAACCACAACUUCUUUAUCCAUUCGUCAGUUGAUGGACAUUUAGGCUCUUUCCAUAAUUUGGCUAUUGUUGAAAGUGCUGCUAUAAACAUUGGGGUACAAGUGUCCUUAUGCAUCAGCACUCCUGUAUCUGUUGGGUAAAUUCCUAGCAGUGCUAUUGCUGGGUCAUAGGGUAGGUCUAUUUUUAAUUUUUUGAGGAAUCUCCACACUGUUUUCCAGAGCGGCUGCACCAGUUUGCAUUCCCACCAACAGUGCAAGAGGGUUCCCGUUUCUCCACAUCCUCUCCAGCAUCUAUAGUCUCCUGAUUUGUUCAUUUUAGCCACUCUGACUGGCAUGAGGUGGUAUCUCAGUGUGGUUUUGAUUUGUAUUUCCCUGAUGAGGAGUGACGUUGAGCAUCUUUUCAUGUGCCUGUUGGCCAUCUGGAUGUCUUCUUUAGAGAAGUGUCUAUUCAUGUUUUCUGCCCAUUUCUUCACUGGAUUAUUUGUUUUUNAUAACGGCUGCACCAGUUUGCAUUCCCACCAACAGUGCAAGAGGGUUCCCAUUUCUCCACAUCCUCGCCAGCAUCUAUAGUCUCCUGAUUUGUUCAUUUUAGCUGCUCUAACUGGAGUGAGGUGAUAUCUCAGUGUGGUUUUGAUUUGUAUUUCCCUGAUGAGGAGUAACGGUGAGCAUCUUUUCAUGUGUCUGCUGGCCAUCUGGAUGUCUUCUUUAGAGAACUGUCUGUUCAUGUCUUCUGCCCAUUUUUUUCACUGGAUUAUUUGUUUUUUGGGUGUGGAGUUUGGUCAGUUCUUCAUAGAUUUUGGACACUAGCCUUUUGUCCGAUAUGUCAUUUGCAAAUAUAUUUUCCCAUUCCAUCAGUUGCCUUUUAGUUUUGUUGAUUGUUUCCUUUGCAGUGCAGAAGCUUUUUAUCUUCAUGAGGUCCCAAUAGUUCAUUUUUGCUUUUAAUUCCCUUGCCUUUGGAGAAGUAUCAAGUAAGAAAUUGCUGCGGUUGAGGUCAGAGAGGUUUUUCUCCUGCUUUCUUCUCUAGGGUUUUGAUGGUUUCCUGUCUCACAUUCAGGCUCUUCAUCCAUUUUGAAUUUAUUUUUGUGAAUGGUGUAAGAAAGUGUUCUAGUUUCAUUCUUCUGCAUGUUGCUGUCCAUUUCUCCCAGCACCAUUCGUUAAAACAGCCAAGAAUUCUUUAUCCAUCAAGGCUGUCAUUCAAAAUAGAAGGAGAGAUAGAAAGUUUUCCAGGCAAACAAAAAUGAAAGGAGUUUGUGACCACUAAACCAGCCCUGCAAGAAAUUUUAAGGGGGACUCUCUGAGGGAGGAAAAGAUGAAAAAAAAAACAAAACACCAAACAAACAAAUAAAGACCAAAAGCAACAGAGACUAGAAAGGACCAGAGAGCACCACCAGAAACUCCAACUCUACAAGCAAGAUAAUGGCAAUAAAUUCCUAUCUUUCCGUACUCACUCUAAACGUCAAUGGACUCAAUGCUCCAACCAAAAGACAUAGGGUAACAGAAUGGAUAAGAAAACAAGAUCCAUCCAUAUGGUGUUUACAAGAGACCCACUUUAGACCUAAAGACACCUUCAGAUUGAAAGUAAGGCGAUGGAGAACCAUCUAUCAUGCUAAUAGUCAACAAAAGAAAGCCAGAGUAGCCAUACUUAUAUCAGACAAUCUAGACUUUAAAAUAAAGACUGUAUCAAGAGAUGCAAAAGGGCAUUAUGUCAUAAUCAAGGGGUCUAUCCACCAAGAAGACCUAACAAUUGUAAACAUUUAUGUGCCAAAUGUGCAGGCACCCAAAUAUAUAAAUCAAUUAAUCACAAAUAUAAAGAAACUCGAUAGUAAUACCAUAAUAGUCAGAGACUUCAACACCCCACUCACAGCAAUGAACAGAUAAUCUAAUAAAAAAAUCAACACGGAAACAAUGGCUUUGAAUGACACACUGGACCAAAUGGACUUAACAGAUAUAUUCAGAACAUUUCAUCCUAAAGCAGCAGAAUAUACAUUAUUCUCCAGUGCACAUUGAAUAUUCUCCAGAAUAGACCAUAUACUGGGACACAAAUCAGCCCUCAACAAGUGUAAAAAGAUCGAGAUCAUACUGUGCAUAUUUUCAGACCACAACGCUAUGAAACUCAAAAUCAACCACAAGAAAAAAUUUGGAAAGAUAACAAAUACUUGGAGACUGAAGAACAUCCUACUAAAGAAGGAAUGGGCCAACCAAGCAGUUAAAGAGGAAAUUAAAAAGUACAUGGAAGCCAAUGGAAAUGAUAACACCACAGCCCAAAACCUCUGGGAUGCAGCAAAGGUGGUCACAAGGGGGAAGUAUAUAGCAAUCCAGGCCUUUCUAAAGAAGGAAGAAAGGUCUCAGAUGCAUAACCUAACCUUACACCUUAAAGAGCUGGAAAAGGAACAGCAAAUAAAACCGAAAACCGGCAGAAGACAGGAAAUAAUGAAGAUUAGAGCAGAAAUCAAUGCUAUUGAAACCAAACAAACAGUAGAACAGAUCAAUGAAACCAGGAGCUGGUUCUUUGAAAGAAUUAACAAAAUUGAUAAACCACUAGCCACUUUGAUCAAAAAGAAAAAGAAAAGGACCCAAAUAAAUAAAAUCAACAAUGAAAGAGGAGAGAUCACAACCAACACAGCAGAAAUACAAACAAUAUAAGAGAAUAUUAUGAGCAAUUGUAUGCCAAUAAAGUGGGCAAUCUGGAAGAAAUGGAUAAAUUCCUAGAAACAUAUACACUACCAAAACUGAAACAGGAAGAAAUAGAAAAUUUGAACACACCCAUAACCAAAAAGAAACCGAAUUAGUAAUCAAAAAUCUGCCAAAAAAAAAAAAAAAUACAAGAGUUCAGGGCCAGAUGGCUUUCCAGGGGAAUUCCAUCAAACACUUAAGGAAGAGUUAACACCUAUUCUCUUGAAUCUUGAAGCUGUUCCAAAAAAUAGAAAUAGAAGGAAAACUUCCAAACUCUUUCUAUGAAGCCAGCAUUACCUUGAUUCCAAAACCAGACAAAGACCCCCCACUAAAAAGGAGAACUAUAGACCAAUUUCCCUGAUGAACGUGGAUGCAAAAAUCCUCAACAAGAUAUUAGCCAACCGGAUCCAAUAAUACAUUAAAAAAAAUUAUUCACCACGACCAAGUGGGAUUUAUACCUGGGAUGCAGGGCUGGUUCAAUAUCUGCAAAACAAUCAGUGUGAUCCAUCACAUCAAUAAAAGAAAGGACAAAACCAUAUGAUCCUCUCAAUAGAUGCAGAGAAAGCAUUUGACAAAAUACAGCAUCCUUUCUUGAUCAAAACCCUCAAGAAAGUAAGGAUAGAAGGAUCAUACCUCAAGAUCAUAAAAGCCAUAUAGGAAAGACCCAACACUAACAUCAUCCUCAGUGGGGGAAACUGAGAGCUUUCCCCCUAAGGUCAGGAACAAGACAGGGAUGUCCACUCUCNNNNNNNNNNNNNNNNNNNNNNNNNNNNNNNNNNNNNNNNNNNNNNNNNNNNNNNNNNNNNNNNNNNNNNNNNNNNNNNNNNNNNNNNNNNNNNNNNNNNNNNNNNNNNNNNNNNNNNNNNNNNNNNNNNNNNNNNNNNNNNNNNNNNNNNNNNNNNNNNNNNNNNNNNNNNNNNNNNNNNNNNNNNNNNNNNNNNNNNNNNNNNNNNNNNNNNNNNNNNNNNNNNNNNNNNNNNNNNNNNNNNNNNNNNNNNNNNNNNNNNNNNNNNNNNNNNNNNNNNNNNNNNNNNNNNNNNNNNNNNNNNNNNNNNNNNNNNNNNNNNNNNNNNNNNNNNNNNNNNNNNNNNNNNNNNNNNNNNNNNNNNNNNNNNNNNNNNNNNNNNNNNNNNNNNNNNNNNNNNNNNNNNNNNNNNNNNNNNNNNNNNNNNNNNNNNNNNNNNNNNNNNNNNNNNNNNNNNNNNNNNNNNNNNNNNNNNNNNNNNNNNNNNNNNNNNNNNNNNNNNNNNNNNNNNNNNNNNNNNNNNNNNNNNNNNNNNNNNNNNNNNNNNNNNNNNNNNNNNNNNNNNNNNNNNNNNNNNNNNNNNNNNNNNNNNNNNNNNNNNNNNNNNNNNNNNNNNNNNNNNNNNNNNNNNNNNNNNNNNNNNNNNNNNNNNNNNNNNNNNNNNNNNNNNNNNNNNNNNNNNNNNNNNNNNNNNNNNNNNNNNNNNNNNNNNNNNNNNNNNNNNNNNNNNNNNNNNNNNNNNNNNNNNNNNNNNNNNNNNNNNNNNNNNNNNNNNNNNNNNNNNNNNNNNNNNNNNNNNNNNNNNNNNNNNNNNNNNNNNNNNNNNNNNNNNNNNNNNNNNNNNNNNNNNNNNNNNNAAUAACACCAGCAUUCUUCACAGAGCUAGAACAAAUGAUCCUAAAAUUUGUAUGGAACCAGAAAAGACCCUGAAAUAGCCAAAGCAAUCUUGAAAAAGAAAACCAAAGCAGGAGGCAUCACAAUCCCAGACUUCAAGCUGUAGUACAAAGCUGUAAUCAUCAAGACAGUAUGGUACUGGCAUAAAAACAGACACUCAGAUCAAUGAACAGAAUAGAGAACCCAGAAAUGUACCCACAAACGUAUAGCCAACUACUCUUUGACAAAGCAGGAAAGAAUAUCUAAUGGAAUAAAGACAGUUUCUUCAGCAAAUGGUGCUGGGAAAACUGGACAGCGACAUGCAGAAGAAUGAACCUGGACCACUUUCUUAUACCAUACACAAAAAUAAACUCAAAAUGGAUGAAAGACAUAAAUGUAAGAUGGGAAGCCAUCAAAAUCCUCAAGGAGAAAGCAGGCAAAAACCUCUUUGAUCUUGGCUGCAGCAACUUCUUACUCACCAUGUCUCUGGAGGCAAGGGAAACAAAAGCAAAAAUGAACUAUUGGUACCUCAUGAAGAUAAAAAGGUUCUGCACAACGAAGGAAACAAUUAGCAAAACUAAAAGGCAACUGACGGAAUGGGAGAAAAUAUUUGCAAACAACAUAUCAGAUAAAGCGUUAGUAUCCAAAAUCUAUAAUGAACUUAUCAAACUCAACACCCAAGAAACAAAUAACCUAGUGAAGAAAUGGGCAAAAGACAUGAAUAGACACUUCUCCAAAGAAGACAUCCAGAUGGCCAACCGACACAUAAAAAGAUGCUCCACAUGACUCAUCAUCAGGGAAAUACAAAUCAAAACCACAGUGAGAGACCACCUCACACCUGUCAGAAUGGCUAACAUGAACAACGCAGGCAACAACAGAUGUUGGCGAGGAUGAGGAGAAAGAGGAUCUUUUUUGCACUGCUGGUGGGAAUGCAAACUGGUGCAGCCACUCUGGAAAGCAGUAUGGAGGUUCCUCAAAAAAUUAAAAAUAGAACUACCCUAUGACUCAGCAAUUGCAUUACUACAUAUUUUCCAAGGGAUACAGGUAUGCUGUUUCAAAGGGACACAUGCACCCCAAUAUUUAUAGCAGCACUAUCAACAAUAGCAAAAGUAUGGAAAGAGCCCAAAUGUCCAUCGAGGGAUGAAUGGAUAAAGAAGAUGUGGUACACACACACACACACACACACACACACACACUGGAGUAUUACUUGGCAAUCAAAAAGAAUGAAAUCUUGCCAUUUGCAACUACGUGGAUGGAACUAGAGGGUAUUAUGCUAAACGAAAUUAGUUAGAGAAAGACAAACAUCACAUGACUUCACUCAUAUGAGGACUUUAAGACACAGAACAGAUGAACAUAAGGGAAAGGAAGCAAAAAUAAUAUAAAAGCAGGGAUGGGGACAAAACAGAAGAGACUCUUAAAUAUGGAGAACAAACAGAGGGUUACUGGAGGGGUUGUGGGAGUCGGGAUGGGCUAAAUGGGUAAGAGGCACUAAGGAAUCUACUCCUGAAAUCAUUGUUGCACUACAUGCUAACUAAUUUGUAUGUAAAUUAAAAAAAAUAAAAUUAAAAAAAAAAGGAUUACCAUAUGGUUGGGAAGACAAGAAUCACAAAGAAAGAUGAAACUGCAGAGAGGUGAUAUGGGAGCAGCAAAUGCUGAAGGAUUUCUUUAUACAGCCCAGUAGAAAUGACAUAUUAGUGACAACAGUGGAGGAAAACCAUGCUUCAAUAAGACAAACAAAAAUUCGAAUGAAUAAUGCUCAAUGUGGAAAAUUUGAAGAUUGAAAGAUAAGAGUAGAAAUAAAUCACAGACAAUCCCACUACCCACAGGUAAUCAGUGUUAAUAUUUUUAUGCAUUUCCCUUUGCCAGUGCAUAUUUUUAUGUUGUUUGUAUUUUUACUAUAUAUGUAAUUUUGCUUUAAGUAAAACUUCAAAUUGUGAAAUAAUUCAAACACAGAAAAUACCAACAUCAAGUGUAGUGGUUUAGAUUGGUGACAAUAGAAUGCCCCUUCACCCACUAUAAUAACAUUGGCUUAGACAAUGUAGGCAUUUAUUUUUCCUUCACAUUAAAGACACCUGUAGGUAGCUGGUCCAGUGCUGCUUUGACACUCCUACAACAUCAUCUUUAAUAACUCAACUUCUAGUUAUCUGCUGUGCCAUUCCUGAGAUGCCCUCAUGCUUACAAUAUGGCUGUUGGAGCUCCGGCAAUCACAUCCCACACCACAGGAAUGCCUCUUCCUCUUUUAAGAGACUUCUGAAAAGUUUCCUACAACAUUUUCACAUCUUACUGGCUCACAUUUAGUCAUGUGGCUACAUCUAAUUGCAUGGUGGGCAGAAAAUUAAGUCUUUUAUUCAAGGUGAUGAUGUAUCCAGGUAAAAAAUCUUUGCCACACCAUGGAACCACCAAACAGAUUUAACAUAUGAUAACACUUGGCUAAUUUGGAUCUGUUUUUAAAUUUUUUAAUAUUUGAAAUUAAGAAAUGAAGAAUUAAAGAUAUAGAUAGAUUCUACUUUCAUUGAGGAUGUAGAGAGCUAGCAGUGCCACUCCUGCCCAACAAGAAAAGGCGAGACAAACUACAAAAUCAUAACUUUUUUUUUUUUUUUUUAUUUAAAAAAAAUUUUUUUUUUCAACGUUUAUUUAUUUCUGGGACAGAGAGAGACAGAGCAUGAACGGGGGAGGGGCAGAGAGAGAGGGAGACACAGAAUCGGAAACAGGCUCCAGGCUCCGAGCCAUCAGCCCAGAGCCUGAUGCGGGGCUCGAACUCACGGACCGCGAGAUCGUGACCUGGCUGAAGUCGGACACUUAACCGACUGCGCCACCCAGGCGCCCCAAUCAUAACUUUUUUUGAAUCCAUUUGAGAACUGAGAUUGGAGUGUGAUAAAGUAGACUUCCAAGGAGAGACAGGGAGAGUCAGAAUACAAGCACUAGGCUUCCCUUGGCAGAGCCUUGGAGGAAGAAACACUGGUACCAAGCUAGUCAGUAAGAAGUCAACUAAAAUUUUCAAUGAGUUUUGGAAGGCUUAAUAUGGGUUACAAUGAUAGUAUAGAAAUCUUGGCAUACCCAGACACAAGGGAAGCUUGUACUCUUUAGUAGGUUCUUCACCAUGGACCUCUGUAGAGUGCUCACAAGAAAGAUUGAGGCAAAUAAGGGAGACCAGAAGAAGCUUGCCUGGGUUGUUUAGACCUUGAGGAGAUUGGUCACCACUGCAGGAGCCUUUCCUCCUGUGGAACUAAAUCUGUAAGCUGUUGAAAGAGGAGUGUUCACCCCCAGAAACACAGGUGAAGCCCCACUGUAGCUGGGGGAAAGGUAAAAGAAAAAAAUCAUUGUUAUUUCAGGGAAAAGGGUAGAAAAUAAUUCUAAGCAAGAGUCCUAGACCAAUAUCAUUAGUGGUCUCUUACUGGUAGGGAAGGUGCAGGAAGCUAUCUCCUGAACAAGACCUUCUAAAGGUAUAAAGCAGAGUUGUUUGCCAUGGGGAAGAAGGACAGAAUCACUAAGGAUGUGACACUUCUGAGACCCAGGCAUACAUGACCUUCCAGGAUAACAGAGAAUUUCCUCUUGACCCCGCUCUCUCACCCUAUUCAGGCUAGCAAGCACUGAGUAACAAGCAAUAGUAACUUACCACUGGGGUGGGAACAAAAGUAUCAAAGGAGAACUCCUGCAUGGUGCAGGCACACAGGGAAGGUUGAAAGCUAAGACUGGAACAAAAAUAUUGAGAAAAAUCCUCUGACAUCCGACUCCCACACUAAGCACAAGGUAACACUAGAGGAAUCUGAAGCCUGAAGGUAACCAUAGGAGCAAACAAAACUCAAACCCUACUCAAUAUCUGACUAGGUCAACAUGACCACCACACUAAUGACCUACCAAAAGAAGACAUGUGUCCAUUUCCCAGCAUAAAUACUAUCUACCUCAGUUGUUACUGUUCUAAACACACCAUCCAUUCAAUAAAAAAAUUAUAAGAUAUACAUAUAGGAAAAUAACCCACUGUUAAAAGACAAAGAUGAACAAAACCAAGCUCAGAGACUAUCCAAAUGUUGAACUAUCAGGGAGUUUAAAGUAACUAUGAUUAUGUGUUAAAGGCUCUAGUGGAAAAUGUGGACAGCAUGCAUGAAAAGAUGGGGGAUUUCAGCAGAGAGAUGGAAAAUAUAAGAAAGAGUCAAAUAGAACGCCUAGAAAUAAAAGCAAGGUAACAGAGAUGAAGAAUUCUGUCAAUGAGCAGUUCAGGGGACUUUAUGCUACCGAGGAAAGAAUGAAUGAACCUGAAGACAGGUCAAUACAAAUUACCCAAAUGAAAACAGGAGCCUUUCCUCCUGUGGAACUAAAUCUGUAAGCUGUUGAAAGAGGAGUGAAAGAGAAAAUAAAAACGAAAAAAAUUAAAAAGGCCCGAGCAUCUAAGAGUUAUAGGACAAUACCAAAUGAUCUAACAUACGUAAAACGGAAUCUUUGAAGAAGAGAGAAAGAAUGAGGUAGAAGAUAUGGACAAAAUUUACCACUCUUCAUCCCAUUUUCUUCCUUUUUUCUUCCUUCCUUUUCUCUCUCUCUCUCUUUUUCCCUCUCUCUUUCUUUCAGAUUUUAUUUUUAGUAGUCUCUAUGACUUGAACUCAUGACCCUGAGAUCAAGAAUCACAUGCUUCACUGACUGAGCCAGCCAAGCACUCCAUCCCAUUUUGUUUCUGUUCUCACCAGUAAUCAUGUGUCCUGAAGCUAGUGUGUAUCCUUCCCAUCAUGUUUUCAUAUUUCUUAGUAUACCUGAAUGUGUCUGAAACAAUAUAUGGUGUCAUUUUUGUUUUCAAAAUAUAUAGAAAUGACAUCGUGGUAUCUUUCUUUGCAAUUUAGUUUUUUUAAUUAUAAAAUUAAUAUUGGUUUAACUACUAUAUAAUGUCCCACUGGUUUAUUUAUCCAUUCCCCCAAUGAUGGAAAAAUAAGUUUAAUUUAUAAUAUUAUAAACAAUGCUGCAAUUAAUAUUUUUGCAUAUGAAUUCUUGUGAACAUGUGACUUCCAUAAUUUCUUCCUCAGCAUGUAAUUCUGAGUUGAAAACAAGCAGUUUUGAAUAUUACAUAAUGCCAUUAAAUUGUUCAUUAAAGCAACUGACUUGAUUUACACUUCUGCUAGCAAUGAACAGCACUGUUUUAUUCUCGACAUGUUCACACUUAGUAUUAUCGGACUCUUACUUGUUGCCAAGUUAUGGGUGUAAAAUUAUAUUUUAAUGUUGUUUUAAUUUUCAUUUCCCCUGAAUAUCUUCAAAAAAAUUUUUUUUAAUGUUUAUUUACAUUAAACAUUAAUGAGAGAAAGAGAGAGAGAGAGAGAUAGCGCAUGUGAGUGGGGAGGGACAGAGAGAGAGGGAGAGAGAAAAUCCCAAGUAGGAUCUGUGCUGUCAGCACAGAGCCCAAUGUGGGCCUUAAUCUCACAAAGUGUGAAAUCACGACCUGAGCCCAAAUUAAGAGUUGGAUGCUUAACUGACUGAGCCACCCAGGCACCCCUCCACUGAACAUCUUUUUUAUAUGUUCAUUGGAUGUUUCUGUUUCUGUUUAUGUAAACUGCCUGAUCAUAUCCUUUGUCCAUUUUAAUAUGACUGUCUUUAAAAUUUUUUUGUACUAUUUCUUUAUCUUAGUCAAUUAAUCUUUGUUGAUUAUAUGCUUAUCUAUGGCUGUCCUUUUAUUUUUGUUAUGGACCUUUUUUUUUUUUUUAUCCAGAGGUUAUAAUUGUAAUUUGUAAAGUGUACACUUUAUGGGUUGUGUUUUCUUUGUGUGUCUUAUGAAUUGCUUUCCUACUGUAGUAUCAUUAAGUUACAUUUUCUUAUAUUUUCUUCCAAAAGUGUUUUUCACAUUUGCGAUUUGUUUUAUGUGAGGUAGGGUCUAAUUUAUCACUUUCCGCAUGAUGCCAAUUAUCCCAGUAGUAUAUUUUAAAUUGUGUUUUCUUUCCCCAGUGGUUUCAAAUACCACUGCUGUUGAGUUCCAAGUUACCACUGAUAUGUGGGUGGGUCUGUUUCCAGUGUUCUUGUUCUGCCAGAGGUGUCUGGGCCCGCUGAAAACACAGCUGUGAGAAAUGAGGUUUUGAGGAACUUCGAUUCCCAGCGAACAUACUGGGCAUAGACUCAACAUACUUGGACCACUUCCAAAACACUACAGAUUGUCCCUGUCACUAAGUACAAGGUGCAGGUCACGUGCUGGAGACGUGCGUACGAUUCCAUGCUUUUGGGAAAAAGGUAAACGGAAUGUUAGCCUGUCCUGGUCCUAUGUCCCGCUACCUCUUUUCCUCUACCUUUAUCUGAAUUGCUGAAAUUUUCACCAUAGCCUAGGUUAUUAAAAAGUAAGCCAUGUGAUAGAAGAGGCAACAUACCUACUUAUCAGAGUAGGAAAUGGGUUUAAGGAAAUAGAACAGUUUCCUUUAUUUUUAUUUUUUUUCUCAUAGGGUAAUAGAAUGGGAGACUAGAAGAAAUCUUUGAGAUCGUCAGGUAUAUUUCUAAAUGGGUAGAGAAACCCAUGAAAAGAUGCCUGGGAAAGUUUAUAUUUAUACCAGUUGUUCCAGAAUAAUAAUCAACAGUACCUUCUUUCAGUAUCAAAACGUCUUGGUUUGGAUAAUAAAUUAUAUGAUCAUCCUAUUGCUGAGAAAACAGAUUCCUGUAAGUUAAAGGAUUAUGUUAAAAAAAUUUUUUUUAUUAGUCACAAAUGGAUACUGUUAACAACAGAUUUCCUUAAUGCUUCCCCUGGGAAAUAUAUUCAAUUGCAAGUAUAUCUAAAAAUUUUUCUUAGUAAGUAUGAUGUGAAUUUGAGGUCUGGACUAAAAAUACACCUGGGAAAGCACAAUUAAUAUUUAAUUGGUUUGAAGACACAGAAUGCGGUAACUACAUGGUUGAAGACAGAGCGAAACUAUACUCUAGGGGGUCUAGUCACCUACAGUUCCUCAUACAGAUACUGCAGGUGCUGUCAUGAGGCUGAACUUCAAGUCCCUUGACUGUUUAUUGCUCUUUCUAUGUUGCUUUCCUUGACAGUUUAUACCGUAGGGUCUGGCAAAAUGCUGGACUGAGCUAAUAUAUACCCCUACCUUCUAUUACAAAUGUAUAGAAAUGUUGGAUAUACUAUCUAUAUAUGUAGUUUAUCCAACAUGUGUAUACACAUAUAUACAUACAUACACACAUAUAAACUACAUGUAUAAUUCAUAAAAACGCAUACAUACAAUUCACACACAUUCCUAUAUAUUUACAUAAAAAUAAAGGUAAAGAAAAAAAUAAAGGUAAAGAAUGAUUUCUUAUGAAGAGCCAAAAAAUCAGUUAACCAGAAAGGAGUACGUUGCUAAAUGUAAGCAUAUUAAAGACUUUUCUAUUUAUCAAAAGACAACCAUUAAGAGAGUGAAGAUACGGGGCGCCUGGGUGGCUGAGUUGGUUAAGCCUCCGACUUCGGCUCAGGUCAUGAUCUCACAGUUUGUGGGUUUGAGCCCCGCACUGAGUUGUGCCGAAGGCUCAGAGCCUGGAGCCUGCUUCAGAUUCUGUGUCUCCCUCCCUCUCGGCCCCUCCCCUGCUCAUGCUAUCUCUCUCUCUCAAAAAUAAAUAAACAUUAAAAAAAUUAAAAAAAAAAGAGUGAAGAUACAUGCUACAGAAUGGGGAAAGAUAUUUGCCCCACACCUAAUUGACAAAUUAGUUGGAGUCAGUAGAAAAAGUCAACCAAAGAAUUGAACAGGGACUUUGGUAAAAAGAGGAAGCCAGCCAAGGUCAUUCUCUGUCUCCCUCUCUAACUCUAGAUGAAUGUAGGUGAGGGGUAUACAGAUGCUGAGCAUACUUUUCUUUUAACAUACUGGAAAAUUUAAAAUAAAACAUUGGGAAAAAUAAAAACAAAGCCACACUCAAAGAAAAAAAAUAAGAUUCCCAGAUGACACACAUGAAGAAGAGAACUCAGGAGGAGAGCAGAAAGUGUACCAGCUAAUGCUACAGCGACUUAGGGAAGACCAGAUUUUGAUAUGAGCCCUGGGAACUUGGGGCUGGGGACUGAACUCCCCUGGAGUGACAGGAAGCAUGUGACACAAAGAACUACUUCAUCCAAACCUCCAGAUAAAACCAGAUUGCAAGGAAUGGCGGUUUUCUCCAAAAAAGGGGACUGGAAGAAUCUUCCCAGUAUCCUAAGAAAGCAGCCAGAAAGCAGGUCUCUGUCUGACGUUCUGGGUAGAGAAAAAAUCUCUCCUGAAGAACUCAAACAGCAUUCCUGUGCCACAUGUGAAUGUUGAAUCCAAAUUCUGUUAACUACAUUAUAAAUGUUUAUUUAUCUAUCUUCAUUUUUGAGACAGAGAGAGACAGAGCAUGAGCGGGGGGGAGAGGCAGAGAGAGAGGGAGAUACAGAAUCAGAAGCAGGAUCCAGGCUCCGAGCUGUCAGCACAGAGCCCGACGCGGGGCUCGAACUCAUCAACUGCGAGAUCAUGACCUGAAGCAAAGUCAGACGCUCAACUGACUGAGCCCCCCAGGCACCCCAUGUUAAUUACAUUAUAGAUAGCCUGGCUUCAGACAGACGAACUCUCUACAGUAUUCAACAGAAGCAAAUAUAAAGCUACCCUAAAGGGAUACUUUCAUAACCUAAGGGGCAUGAGGUUUCCAGUAAGUCUUAAGUCAUGGCAAAAAAAAAUAACAGUCCAUGUAAGGAAACCAUCCACCAUGAGGAAUAAUUGCUAGGCACAGCGUGGGGAAGGGUUAGUACCUUAAGGACUUAAAAUUGUAUACUAAUGUGAAAGAGAAGGUCACUUAAGAAUCCUUAGAACAAUCAAAUAGAUUAUAGCGGAAGAAGGGGAUACUAUAAGAAAAGAUACAUUUGGAAAAUAUAUCUUUUUUUUUUUUUUUUUUAGGUAGCUUUCAUGCCCAGCAUGGAGCCCAAUGUGGGUCUUGAACUCAUGACCCUGAAGUGAACACCUGAGCUGAGGUCAAGAGUCAGAGGCUUAGGGUGGCUCAGUCGGUUAAGCGUCCGAUUUCAGUUCAAGGCAUGGUCUCACGGUUUGUGGGUUUGAACCCCACAUCAUGUUCGGAGUCUGGAGCCUGCUUUAGGUUCUGUGUCUCCCUCUCUCUGCCCCUCCCCAACUCACACUCUGUCUCUCUCAAAAAUUAAUAAACAUUAAAAAAAAAUUUUUAAAAGGAGUCAGAUGCUUAACUGACUGAGCCAUGAAGGCACCCCCAAAUGAAACUUUUAACAAUUAAAAAUAGAAUUUCUCAAAAAAAAUUUUUUUUCUCGUUGAAAUUAGAAAAGCCCUCUGUGGACGGGAUAAAUAGCAGGUUACACACGUCUGAUGAAAUAAUUAGUGAACUGGAAGUUUGUUCUGAGGAAAUUGCCCAGAAUGCCACAGAGAGGUUACGAAAUGGGAAAGAUGAAAGGAAGCUGUGAGGUGGGAAGAGAAUGAUCACGGAAUGAGGUACACCGACACGUGUCCAACUGAGGUUUCAGAAGGACAGAAGAGAAAGAAACUGGGAAAAGCAAUAUUUAAAAUGAUGACGACAGAGAACUUUCCAGAAGAAUAGACAGGUCUAACUGGAGGUGAAAAUGAGAUUCUUUUGUAGUUUCAGCCGGAUCGAAAGAUGGAGAACAAGUCAAUAGGUGACAAGGGUGACCCAGUUUCAAAGUUAGCUUCUUGGUCACGAAUGCAGGCCACACUAACAGAUUGCAAAACUGGUUCUGACAAUAUGAGUCAGUUCCUGACUUUGGACCUACACACAACAUGAAAGAUGAAGAGGCUGGGAGAGGGAAUUGUUAGCAGUUACCAAUAGGCUGUAUUUUCAUGACCAUUCACGGAGGAGGAGCAUGUCGUCGCGUCCCCCUAUUUCAAACCGAGCAGUUGGACGCGGCCCCCUGUUUCAAGCUGAGAGAAAGUGACCUCAGUGGUGCUGCUUGGCAGGCCUGACAUGUGUUUCCUGAGGUUGGAGGAUCCUACGGAGGAUGUAGGACUCAUUCCUGAAGAAUCUAAAACCAAGAGGCCGUGGUAGGGCCACUCCUGCCUGGUAGUGGAGAGACAAGCGGUGGCUGCCCUGUGUGGACCGAUCUGCACUUCCGUUAACGAUGGGCAAAGAUGUCUGCUUUCCAAGCAGUGGAAGGGAAGAUGUGAAUGUGAAUACAUUUAUAGUUUGAAAAUUAUAGUGGACCUGGGGAGCCUGGGUGGCUCCGUCGGUUGAGCCAACUUUGGCUCAGAUCAUGUCAGGAUUCGUGAGUUUGAGCCCCUCAACAGGCUCUGUGCUAUCAGUUCAGAGCCUGCUUCGGAAUCCUCUGUCCUCUCUCUCUCUGCCCCUCCCCUGUGCUCUCUCUCUCUCUCUCUCAAAUAAAUAAACAUUAAAAAAUUAUACUGGACUAGCCCCCAAUUAUGCCACUGUUAGGUUAUUAUUUGAGAUUUCAUGUAGGAAUGGGGAAGGAACUGCAGAGAAAGUUUGAAUGGACUGAAGAAAAGAAUGAAAUUAACUUUUUCUUAUACCUUUCUGGGUCUAGCUUCAUGAAAACACUGUUUGUUUGUGUUUUUUUAAUGUUGAUUUAUUUUUUGAGAGAGAAACAGAGUGUGAGCCAGGGAGGAGCAGAGAGAGAGGGAGACACAGAAUCCAAAGCAGGCUCCAGGCUCUGAGCUGUCAGCACAGAGCCCGACACGGGGCUCUAACCCAUGACCCAUGAGAUCAUGACCUGAGCCAAAGUCAGACGCUUAACCAACUGAGCCACCCAGGUGCCCCAUGAAAACACUAGUUUAAUAUGAAUCUUUAAAUUGUGGGAUUACAAAAGUCACAGAUAAUAUAAACUUAACUUUCCAGACAAGGAUGUAUAACCUGAAUCUAAUGAAGAAACAUUAGAGAAACCCAAAUGAGGAACAUUCUAUUUAAAAAUUCGGGAGGGGCAUGUAAUAAAAUGGUCCGUGUGAUAAAAGACAGAAAAAGGCUGCGUAAAGAGUCUGGAGUCAUGAAGGCUAAAGAUUCAUGGCAGCUAAUCAAUAUCUAAGACUAGAUUGGAUUGUGCACUUUGGGGGUGGGGGAGAUGAUGCUGUACAGGGCAUUACUGGGUCAUUCAAAAAGAAACAAUAAGAAUUGAAAGAUUAAAUACAAUGUAUCAUUUUUAAAAGUUUAUUUAUUUGAGAGAGAGAGAGAGGGAAAGAGUGAGCAUGAGCAAAGGUGUGUGUGUGUGUGUGGGGGAGAGAGAGAGAGAGAGAGAGAGAGAGAGAGAAUCCCAAACAAGUUCCAUGCUCAGCACAGAGCCCCAUGCAAGGCUCAAUUCAAGAAGUAUGAGAUACUGACGUGAGCUGAUAUCAAGAGCUGGACACUUAACCGACUGAACCUCUCAGGCACCCCAGUACAAUGUAUCAUUCUUAAAUUUACUACAGUUGAUAAGUAUACUGAGGGCUAUAUAAGAGAACGUCCAAGGAAAUAUAUAGUAGAGUAUUUAGGGGUGAAGAGCAUGAUAUAUAUGACUUACCUUCUUCAAAUGAUUUGGGAAAAAUGUGUGUGUGUGUGUGUGUGUGUGUGUGUGUAAAGAGAACAAAUAAUAAAUGGAGUAAAAUGUUGACAGUUGGUGAAUUUACAUAACAGUAUAUGCGUAUUCUUGUACGAUAUUUUGCACAUUUUCUUUAAAUUUGAAACUGUUUUCCAACAUUCGAAAAACAAACACAAACAAAUAAAUAAGGAACCAGAGAGACAAAACAGAUCAUCCACGGAGGAGAUUAUGUUGUGGACAUAAAUGAUAGUUUAUCCUAGCUAAACUAUCAUUCAGGGGGCAUGGGGCAAAUAAAACAUUGAAAAAAUAAAAAUACUUACAUAACAAUUUCUUUUAUUUGUAAGUAAUCUCUACACCCAAUGUGGGGGUUGAACUCACCACCCUGAGAUCAAGAGUCGUAUAAUCCACUGACGGGGCCAGUCAGGUGGCCCCAGAAUACUUACAUGAUGAUUAAAACAAUCACUCACUGGUUCUUGCUGAGUCACUAAAGGGUGGGCUUCAAGGAGAAAGAUACAGUUCAGAGAAAGAAGGGAGAAGUAAGGAUACAAAGUUCAGCAAAGCAAUUAGUAAGUGUGAGCAAAUCUAAAUAAACUGUUUAAAAAAUUUUUUUAAUGAUUUUAUUUUUGUGGUUAAAGAUGUGGAAUUAAUACUUUAUUUGGUUUUGUUUUUUAAAUAAUUUUUUAAGGUUUACUCAUUUAUUUUUGAGAGAGAGAGAGAGAGAGCACACAGGAAGGGCAAAGAGAGAGGAAGAGAGAGAGAGAGAGAGAGAGAGAGAGAGAGAGAAUCCCAAGCAGGCUCCACACUGUCAGUGUGGAGCCUGAUGUAGGGCCUGAAUCCGCAAACUGUGAGAUCAUGACCUGAGCCGAAAUCAAGAGUUGGGCACUUAACUGACUAAGCCAUCCAGGGGCUCCAGGAACUAGACAGCAAUAACAUGAAAGAUGGGAGAGGAUGAUUCAGAGUGAAAACAUUUUAAUAUCCUAAUAUUUUCUUGAUGGUAACCAUGCAGUGUUAAUGAUUUAAGAUAAAAGAAAAGAAACAGAAUCUGUAAUUUCUUAGAUGGUUAGAGGAAACUAAGAUGAUAAAGAAAACAUGAUACUCACCAUCCCCCCACCCCCCAUACACCGCCCAAAGGGCAGGAAAGGAAAGGCAUAAAUCGAAAAAAACACAAAAUAAGAAUGGUGGAAAUGAAUUCAAAUAUAUUGGUAAUCACAGGCAAUGUAAAUAUUCAUGGGAUGGAAAAGCACAUAGAAGUCAAAACAAACGAACCAGAUCUGCCUGGGUACCAACAGCAGCCUCAGAAACAUUGUACUCGAUGCACAAUGUGUUAGGAUACACACAAUUUGGAACCACUUUGUAAAAUACAAAGUGACACAAAACAAUGUUAUUUAUUGUUUGUGGAUAUAAACACACGUAGCAGCACAGGGAAUGGAGUAAUACACACCAAUUUAGUGACGAUCUCAGGAGGAGAUGAGAGUGGAGGGAUGGGGGAAGGUGAGAGAGUGUCCCUAACUUGAUCUGCAAUUUAUUUUUCCUUAAAAGAACACGUCCAAAGCAGUCACGAUAAAAAGCUAACAUGGGACAUGUGGGUUGUGGAAUGUGGGUGUCUGUUUUAUUAAUUUCUGGACUUCUCUAUAUAUUUAAAGUAAUCACUUAAAAACACGAACCCUCUAUAUUUUAUAUUUAAUUCCAUUUUUCUGAGGACAUAUAGAAGAAACAGUUCUGCUCUCCUGGAGCUCGUUUAGGUAAGGAUGCAGGUUACUCUGUUUCCCUCCCCUCCCAGAUUCGUGCUCUGUCCUGCUGAGUCCUCCUUCUGUAAACAGAACUCUACCAACCAGUCUUCCUCCCUCUGCUAACAGUAUUUCCUGCUCUUGUCUCAACAGGCCCUGGGGGCGGUGACCGCUUCUCACCUUUGCUGAACUCUGGAUGUCUUACCAUACCUUGUUUGUUCCCUUGACCCUGCUGGAAACUCGAACAGUACCUUUGUUAAAAUGCUUGCAUUUUAACCACCUGGGAAGACACAAGAAGACAUUGUGAAAAAUCAAAAACAAUUCAUUUUUGUUUUUGUUUAGUUUAUAGAACUUCUUUGCUGUGGGUGAAAAGAUCGAUAAGGUGACCUUCUCCAUGUCCCAGCCUAUUUGCACUAUCUGAGCACGUGUGGUGGACAACUUCUUGAUGAAAAGAGAUCACGACUGACAUACACGGGGGGAAUUGCUCGUGCGCCAAAGAUCUUACGAUUCCUUGAAUGGUAUCAAUUGUGUUUUAUGAUUUCCUUGUUCAUCUACUUAGUUAAUUUCGAUUGAGUGGUGCUCUGCCCCAAGAACUGUGCCAGGUAAUGGGGAUACAUUACACGCUUCAGUAGACAGGGCAAACCUGAGAUGGGGUAAAUUCUAACGGAAGCAGAGAGUGCUAUGCGGUACCCAGGAGGGUUAUCCACCCAAAUCCUGUACUGUAAGAUAUGGUUUCCCAAAGGAAGUAACAUCUAAUCUGAAACCUGAAAUCUAUGUACUAGUGAGCCAGAUUAUGGACAACAGCCGGUGGGAGGGAAUGAGUCUUAGUUUUAAGGUAUUCUGGGCAGAGAGAAAAACAACUUGGGCAAAGACCAGCAGGGGAUAAAAAGCAUUUGGAAAAUUAGAAGCAUACCUCUUGGGUUAAUGUAUGGACUGCAGGAGAGGAGGAGAGUUGGGGCAGGAGAGGAAUGCAGAGGUCAGAUCACAAAAGGUCUUAUAAGUAAGUUUAAGGAUAUGAGUGCUAUUAUGAGGUCAGUGAAAAGCUGUUAAAUCUUGUAAAGUGGGUGGUGUCUAGCAAAAUGAUAUUUGCAUUUAAGAAAGAUUUACCCUGAGGAUGAACUUGAGAUAAGUAAGGGAGAUAUCUUAGUAGGUUCUCUGGAGUAACCCAGGCCAGAGAUGAUGAGCUGGGUUUGAGACAGUGAGGCUGGAAAGAGUGGCUGCAGCAGAAAGGAUGGCUCACGCGGGCCACCUGCUGUCAUUAUAGGCAGCAGUUAGGCAACUGCUGUCAUUAUAGGACAGCCCUGCAAAAUGCAAACUGUCCUUUCCUUGUUGGCCUUUAACCAGACUGUGAACGCCCUGCAGGCAGGGAAUAUUUUGUGUCCAUCUCUGUGUCUCUAGGACCUCAGCGGUGCUCAGGGAAUGAAUGUUCUUGAAUAAGUGGAUCUCGGCAACAUCGUAUUUUUUGAUACAAUGGUUACCCUCAUGACUUCCAGACCCAACACUUGUUAGGAGAGUUCUAUAAUGAUUGUGAAGUCAAUGUCUAGGGCUGUUCCAGAGGCACAUGAAGGCGUGGGUGCUUUAACUCAGUUCUCUGUGCAUAUUGAAACGUGCAGGCUGUUUUUCCCUGACUCAGUUCUCUUGUGCCAUCUGCCGGGAUGAGCAUUUCACAGCACACCAAAGUGAGAUGGCCAGUGAAGAAGACAAGCCGGAAAGCUCCGUGGGAGAAGUAGCAGACAAAACCCUGGACAGCCUUACAAUUUAGCCGGAGAAACAAGUCUUGUGCCCACGCAGCAAUCCCUGUGCGGUGAACCUUCCCAAGAUGUCCUGGGGUGUUUUCCCCAGACAAAUAUCCCUUUCUACCGGUUUGCGAGCAGACGAUCUUAACUUUCUGCAUUCUUCUUCAGCGUUUGCGACAACUUUACCAUACGAGACGUUAGUAUUAUUACAGGCUUUGAAAUGGGGAAAGAGAAGCAUGGAGAUUGAAAUAAAAUGCCAGCUCUGAGCUGGCCGGGUGGCCGGUCAGAAUAACUUUAAACAAGGAGCCGAGUCAGAACUGAAGCCUGUUUUACUCCCAGGUGCACACUGGACUCACAAAACAUCCCAAAGUAAGACGGAGGUCAAGAGGGGGCAGAGGUAAGCUGCUUGGUUGCAGCAUGGGCAGGGCGGGUCAGGCACGGAGCGGAAAAGUCCUCAGUGCACUUACAAUGCCGUUGUUGGUGCAGGGGUUAGAGGGGCCGGGGGAGCAGCGGGAACAAUUCUCCUGCAACGUGUGUUCCCCAAUGACAGGUCAAGGGCGUGUCCCCAAGGGAACAAAAUUUUGUAAUUCUAUGAAGAUUGAUAGAGCUUGCGCCUGGGCGGUACCGAAAACCUUUGGGGGACGUUGUCAAACAAUAGAUAUUGCUAUGGUGGUUGACAUGUGUAGUUAAAACAAAGAAACUAGCACACCAUCCUCUUCUCGUUGAAACUUAAGUUAUUCCUAUAUAAAUAUAUGCUUGUAUAAACAUACAAAUAUAUUCUUGGUGUCAAAACACCCAGCUCAGGUCAUGAUCUCAUGGUCAUGGGAUCGAGCCCCUCGUUGGUCUCUGUGCUGAGUAUGGAGCCUGCUUGGGAUUCUCUCCCUCUCCCUUGGCCCCCCUCCCCUGCUCUCUUUCUCUCUCUCUUUAAAAUAAAUAAAAAUAGGGGCGCCUGGGUGGCUCAGUCGGUUAAGCGGCCGACUUCGGCUCAGGUCAUGAUCUCGCGGUCCGUGAGCUCGAGCCCCGCGUCGGGCUCUGUGCUGACAGCUCAGAGCCUGGAGCCUGUUUCAGAUUCUGUGUCUCCCUCUCUCUGACCCUCCCCUGUUCAUGUUCUGUCUCUCUCUGUCUCAAAAUUUAUUUUAUUUUAUUUUUUUUAACAGAAGCUCAAGACUUUUAUUUAUUUAUUUUUUAUGAAAUUUAUUGACAAAUUGGUUUCCAUACAACACCCAGUGCUCAUCCCAAAAGGUGCCCUCCUCAAUACCCAUCACCCACCCUCCCCUCCCUCCCACCCCCCAUCAACCCUCAGUUUGUUCUCAGUUUUUAACAGUCUCUUAUGCUUUGGCUCUCUCCCACUCUAACCUCUUUUUUUUUUUUUCCUUCCCCUCCCCCAUGGGUUCCUGUUAAGUUUCUCAGGAUCCACAUAAGAGUNUGGAAUCUAAGUGAUCAGCAGGACGCGCGGUGAGCCCAGCGUCCUCCUACGCCGCCAUCUUCCUGCGCCUCCCUCCAUCUCUCUGUCUCAAAAUUUAAAAACAACAACAACAACAACAAAAAAACAAAAAAAAAAGUUAAAAAAAUAAACAAAAAUAAAAAUAAAAAACCCUAAAAAAGAAAAACCCAAACAACCCAAACAUUCGGGGAAAGCUCUAAUUCUCCUUUACUUUCCCCAGAGGUAUAGCAGUCAGUGGUAGGCUUCUAGAUCUUUUUCUAUGUGUUUACACACACGUGUUUUCCAAUGGGAGCAUGGAGUAUGGUUUAGUGUUUUAUCCCCCGUGUGAACGCUAUCUUGCUGGACUUCCCUGCCCUGCCUCUCCAACAGAGGGGCUCACGCUCGCUCUUCUGACUCACUGGGACUUGUAGUUUGAUUUGCAUGAGGCCCCUCCUAGAAUCUCCAUCUAAUUGCCUAAUGACAGUCAUCUUGGUCUCCUCAGACCAGGCCUCCAGGCUGGGAGGUCUCUGCAGCUUAUACCCAGCUUCACAAAGCUUGCUUUCUUUCUUGUAUCGCGGUAGAGCAUAUGUAACAUAAAAUCUUACUAUUUUAACCACUUUUAAGCGUGCAGUUCAGCGGCAUUAAGUACAUUUACAUUGUGUGUAACUAUUGACACCAUCCGUCUCCAGAACGUUUCCCAAACUCUGCACCCAUUAAACACUAGCUCCCCACUCCCCUUCCCUUAACCCCUGGCAACGAUCACUCCACUUUCUGUCUCUGUGAAGGGGAGUGAUACGGUAUUGGUCUGUGUGACUGGCUUAUUUAGCUUAGUGUGGCGUCCUCAAGGUUCAUCCAUGUUGUAGCAUGUGUUAGAAUUCCUUUCCAUUUAAAGGCUGAAUAAUAUUCCAUUUUAUGUAUACACUACAUUUUGUCCAUCCAUUCAUCCACUGAUGGACAUCUGGGCUGUUUCCUCCUCUUGGCUAUUGUGAAUAACUCUGCUAUGGGCACGAGUGUGUGAAGACGUGUUUGAUUCCCGGCUUUCAAUUCUGGUGGGUAAUUGCCCCAAAGUGAUGUAAUAGCUUUCUGAGCACACCCUAAGCUGUACUUUCCUUCUUCAGAUGGAUGCCCCCUGUUUUUUAGCUAUUUACCGAAGUUACCCACCUACCAGAGACAGUCCUCCUUGCUUUCUAGGACAGCGAUGUGUUGAAACAUAUGUAUUUCCAGUUCUAAAGAUUUUGGGGCAGGAGAGAGAGAGGCUGUUCUCAAAGUCCUGUACUUCAAGACUCAUUCAGGAGAUCCCCCUGCCAGGGCACCUGGGUGGCUCAGUCGGUUAAGCCUCUAACUCAUUUUGUUUUCUUUAAUUUUUAUUUAUUUUUGAGAGAGACAGUGUGAACGGGGUAGGGGCAGAGAGAGAGAGGGGGACAGAGGAUCUGAAGCAGGCUCCAGGCUCUGAGCUGUCAGCACAGAGCCUGACGCGGGGCUUGAACUCACUAGAGCUCCAUCUGACAGUACCGUGAACUACUUGAUGGGGAAGAUUGCCUGUUUUUAAUCUUUAGUCUGCUACAUUGUAUAGAAUGGUCAGUGUCUAUUUAAAAAUGAAAAAAAAAUUCAUUUUAUUUAUUUUAGAUAGGAGUAGGGGAGAGGGGCAGAGGGAGAAAGAAAGAGAAUCUUUAAAAAAUUUUUUUUAAAAUGUUUAUCUUAGGGAGGGGGAGGGGCAGAGAGAGGGAGACACAGAAUCCGAAGCAGGCUCCGGGCUCUGAGCUGUCAGCACAGAGCCCGAUGUGGGGCUUGAACCCAUGAACUGUGAGAUCAUGACCUGAGCUGAAGUCGGACGCUUAACCGACUGAGCCACCCAGGCGCCCCAAGAAAGAGAUAAUCUUAAGCAGGUUCCACACUCAGCAGGAGCCUGAUGCAGAGCUUGAUCCCACGACCCUGGGAUCAUGGCCUGAGCCAAAAUCGAGUCAUAUACUCAAGGAUGGACUGAGCCACUCAGGUGCCCCUACUUAGAAUAAAAAAAUUAAUUACAGAUAUCUUUACUAUUUACACACAGUUAAAUUUCUUUUUAAUAUUUAUUUUUGAGAGAGAGAAAGAGAGUGUACACACCUACAAGCAGGGGAGGGGCAGAGAGAGAGGGGGACAGAGGAGCCAAAGCGGGCUCUGUGCUGACAGCAGCGAGUCUGAUGCAGGGCUCACACUCACAAACUGUGAGAUCGUGACCUGAGCCGAAGUCAGACACUUAACCGACUGAGCCACUCAGGCGCCCCGAUAUUUGUACAGAGUUUAGAAAUUCAAACAACACGGGGCGCCUGGGUGGCUCAGUCGGUUGGGCGACCGGCUUCGGCUCAGGUCAUGAUCUCACAGUCUGUGAGUUCGAGCCCCACGUCGGGCUCUGUGCUGACAGCUCAGAGCCUGGAGCCUGUUUCAGAUUCUGUGUCUCCCUCGCUCUCUGACCCUCCCCCGUUCAUGCUCUCUCUCUGUCUCAAAAAUAAAUAAACAUAAAAAAAAAAAAGAAAUUCAAACAACAAAUGAAAAGUUGACAAACCUUAACCCAGCCCUCCCCAUCUUGGUACUAAUCUCUGGAAGGAAACAACUGUGUUUCAGUUUUCAGGUCUCUGAGUAUUAAUCUGCUUCUCUAGAUAAUAAACACCCACCACUACCCAAUCAAUCUCAUAGAAUAUUUUCUAUUAGUUUUUGCUUUGGUAGAAUUUAGUUCUCCUCUCCCAUCACCCACCUUUCUGCCUCCGUUGGUUGCCAUCCUCACCCCUCCCUAUCUCUAUGCCCAUUGGCUUUGCAGACCCUCCCUCCUCUGUGACUCACCCUUUGACUGUGGGCCCAGCCAUGUGAUAUCCUUUGGCUAAUGGGAUGUUCGUAGACACGAUGCAGUCAGGGAUUAGAGGAUUGCUUGUGCGGUGGAAUCUGCUCUCUUGUACCUCUGCCAUCACCUGAUGAGCCUGCUGGUCUCCAGAGAAGGAUAAAAGAUGUGGGGCAAAGCUCUUCCAGUGGACUCCUAGACCCACAGAAGGAAGCAAAGCUAUCUAGCCAGACUGCGCCUAGAUCAGCUGAACUCCAGCUCAUUUGCAGGUGGGCAAGUGGUAAUAAAUGAUUGUUGUAUUAAGCUGCUGAGUUUUGGGGUAAUUUGUUACUCAGUGAUAGCUAACCAAUAUACACACCCAACUUCCCUGCCCCGUCCUCCUCCUCCUCCUCCUCCAGUUAUAUCCUCAUUUUUGUUCCUCUGCUGUUACCAUUUUAACCCUCUUCAUUCCAUUAGUUGUUGGUGGGAUCCCUUCUCUCCCCAUUUUGUAUGAUAACUUUAUUCUCACUCCUCUUCCACCCCCUCACCACUUUCCGACUCCUGGUUUCCAUCAACUAUACCUUAGCUUUCACACUGGGAGGUUUACAUUCAUUAACAUUUUGUCCAUAGCAAAAAUUUUGGACACUUGCUGCUUUCUAAGUCCAUUAUGUUCCUGUGGAGGAAAAUGGAGAAAAGAUUAUUUUAGAGAGCCGAUUCACAACUUCUUAUGAACUGGUGUAGUGUGUUUUCCUUCUUUAAAAUCAAAGGAUCCCGGAUUAAUAUACCUUCAGUCCUGUCAAAGCUCCUGAAGACUGUAAUGUAAGGAGAAGGGAAGGGAGGGUUGACUGUCAGAACAUUACUGUGCAUUGAGUUAGGUUGGGCUAUUAGUGAAGAUACUAGGAAAUAGAGUGUUUCCUGUGUUGACAAUACAUUUCAGUUGUCACACACAUUUGUGCUACUAGCAGAUGACUAGGUGAUAGCAGUUUAAUAAAACACCUGAACUUUACAAAGGUCUUUAAAAAUUUUUUAUUUUAACGUUCAUUUAUUUUUGAGAGACACAGAGACAGAGUGUGAGUAGGGGAGGGGCAGAGAGAGAGGGAGACAUAGAAUCCAAGGCAGGCUCCAGCUCUGAGCUGUCAGCACAGAGCCUGACAACAGGGCUCGAACCCACAAACUGUGAGAUCAUGAGUGGAAGUCAGAUGGUUAACUGACUGAGCCACCCAGGCACCCCCAAAGUUCUAUUUUAACUAAUAAAAAUAAAUUAAGCCAACUUGGGCGUUGUGCCCAGGAAAUCUGUAUGACAUAUAAUUGUAAGAAGAAUACUCUCUAUUGAUACCUUUGACCACUGAUCUUUACCAGUUACAAUGAAAAAUUGGAGGUGAAAAUGUGUAGAUAUUUUAUAAGAUUUGGGCUUGGAGGUGGUGAUGUUAGAAACUGGAAUUCUCAAUCUGUAGGAAUGCUAUCCUUGGGUUUUUGGAAUCUUUUAGAUCUUUUCCGACCCCUCCACACCUACAAGGGACAGGGAAUGGAAUGCGUUGACUUCUGUCCCAGGACAUUGGCUCCUUUUAUUUUCCUCAUAUUCUCUGGAAUCAUGAAGAGAGCACCAGUUGGGGGUUAGGCAGUUUUAGGUCAGAACAGCCAUGUUACCACAUGCUGGCACGUGUAAACGUGGGCAAGUGCCUUAACUUCUUUUAAUUUACAGUUUCCUCAACUGAUGAAAAGAAAUGCAUACCUUCUAAGUCGUGCUGUGAAGAGUAAAUAAGCUAAGGUAUACAUAGCGCUUCACAUUCCUGAAUCAAAGAGGAUACAUAACAAAAGGUAGCUGCCUUUGUUACCAUCCUUAUUCAUCAGCUUGAGACACAGAUUUCUUUUAAUAUUUAACUGAAGUCAUUCUAUUAUCCCGGACUGCUUACAGUGAGAAUGUAUCUUUUCUUUUCCUGCUAUCCUCUUUCCUGUGAUAACUCCCACCAGAGGUACUCCAAGAUUCCUGGAUACUAUCGUCUUCAGCAGAGAAAACCCGGAAAACCAUGGUGUUCAGGAUUUUUGACUGUCGUUGCUGGUCCUGCCACAUGGUGUCGCUGUUGAGACAGACAACCUUGCCCCGCUUGCCAUCCUCCUGGCCCCAGCCCAGCGACCUUAGGGGAAAGAGGCAGGCACCUGUGUGGAACUAUGGAACGCAGUGAUCUGAGAACAGCUGCUGUACCCUAUUUCAGCAUCCUGGAGAGAUCACCUCUAUUUAGGUACCUGUGUUGGAAGCAAAGCUGUAGGACUAUCACGUGUGCAAGAGGCAACUUGACCCCCACACAUGCUGCCCGUGGCUGGGGCUCAGUCCUGCUUCCUCGCUUACUUCUCAGAUCUUUCAGAGAUACAUCCGGAAGCUCCUUGAUAGAUAGCUUUUUUGCAUGUGGAUGGUUACCACCAUGCUCAAGUAAUUAGCAUCUUCCCCCUGGCAGUAUUGACUAGCAGGUUCCUGCUACAAAGAUGCCCUUGUAGGAGAGCCGCUGUGACAAAAAGUUGGAAAACCCAUCCUUCUGGGGGCACAUCUCUGCACAGAUGAAUUCCUUGGGCCCAGCUGCCUCUACCCACACUCAUGCAAAUAGGCUGCAACCAGGAGACAGACAGCGCUGAAGAAAUGGUGGAUUCAUAUCAGCAGCUGACUCCUGUCACUACAGCCAGACCUCAGGUCUUUAAAAGUAAAGAGGGUGCCUGCCGUGGGAAGGAUGCUCACGAAGAGAUACCCAACAUACCGUCUAAUCCAGAGAGCAAGUUGCCAGCUUAGAUGUACAAUAUGAGUCCAUUUUCGCUAUUUUUUCUUUUAUACUUUUCUAUUGCCUGAAUUUAUUUUUUUAAAUUUUUUUUUUCAACGUUUAUUUAUUUUUGGGACAGAG